This 1071-nucleotide ribosomal RNA is filed under the name bacterium MAS11. RNAcentral describes it as "bacterial SSU rRNA". It matches the Rfam family "Bacterial small subunit ribosomal RNA", at positions 414 to 1470 of the family's 1533-position model. The record is from RNAcentral.
GCCUUUCGGGAUUGUAAAAGCUUUUGUUGUUAGAGAAGGAAUCAAAUCUCGCUAGUAAUCCGGGCUGUGACUUAGGGUAUCCAAAACCUAAACACCGGGUCUAAUCGUGUCAGCGCACCCGCUGUUAUAAGGAGUGCACAAGUGUUUUCGAAUUUUAUUGCGUGAAAAGUGCUUACGUGCUCGUUUAAAUCUGUGAUGAGAAACCCCGCCUCUCACCGGGGGAUGCUCUGGAUAAUGGGGGGAUAGAGAGUGGUGGAGAGGAGAGUGGUAUUCUCGUGUGUCAGGGAGAAAUGUGUAGAUAUGGAGAGGCACACCAGGGGAGGAGAGGUCUCUGUGCUAUGUAAGACACGGAGACGAGAAAAAGUGUGGAGCAAGAACAAGAAGAGAUACCUGUUAGUGUACACGCUAAAAGAUAUGAGUGGUAAGUGGUGGGCAGUUUGCCACGCAGAGUGGAGCAGAUAACGCAAUGAUCACUCCGCGGGGAGAGCGGUGUCACAAGAGUAAAUCUCAAAAGAUUUGGGGGGGCCCCGCACAAGCGGGGGUACAUGGGGUAUUAUUAGAAACAACGAGAAGCACUUUAUCACGUUUUCACAUCGUGAGCCAAUCAGAGAGAUAGGGGGUCCCUUUGGAAGUCAGACUCACAGGCGGCACAUGGUUGUUCUCAUCUUGUGUUGAGAGAUUGGGGUAAAAGUCCCACAGAGAGCACACCCUUUCAUUAUUGUCCACCACAUUCAGGUGGGCACUCUAAGGUGACUGCCGGUGACAAACCGGAGGAAGGUGGGGAUGACGUCAAGUCAUCAUGCCCCUUAUGGCCAGGGCUACACACGUGCUACAAUGGUCGGAACAAAGGGCAGCGAACCGGCGAGGGUAAGCCAAUCCCAGAAAUCUGUUCUCAGUUCGGAUCGCAGUCUGCAACUCGACUGCGUGAAGUUGGAAUCGCUAGUAAUCGCGGAUCAGCAUUGCGCGGUGAAAUAGUUUCCGGGCCUUUACCCCCCCCCCGUCACCACCGAGAAUUUUAACCCCCGAAAUCGGGAGGUAACCUUUCAGGAGCCAGCUCCGAAGGGGUCCAUC